CAUUAGCCACAGAAACGGCAGUGGUUGCGGAAACAGCGUACGAACUAGGAAACUUGGCGAGGGAAGAAGAUCAAACAAAGUUCUUUGGUGUGAUCACUGCAAACGUGAAUGGCAUACACGUGAAACUUGUUGGAAUCUUAAAGGCAAACCUCCUAACUUGAAGAAGAAAAGUGGUCGUUCAUUUUAGGCUAGUAAUUCUGAUCAAGGGUAGCAACCUUCUCCGUCUCAGAUUCCACUCAUUACGGAGCAACUAGACAAACUGUACAAAGUCC
This 272-nucleotide long non-coding RNA is filed under the name Lathyrus oleraceus (garden pea). Its description in RNAcentral is "Pisum sativum (pea) long non-coding RNA (PSAT_LNC025270)". Lineage: Eukaryota; Viridiplantae; Streptophyta; Magnoliopsida; Fabales; Fabaceae. The record is from RNAcentral.